Molecule: long non-coding RNA, 626 nt
Filed under: Nicotiana tabacum (common tobacco)
Lineage: Eukaryota; Viridiplantae; Streptophyta; Magnoliopsida; Solanales; Solanaceae
Description: long non-coding RNA (NTAB_LNC000253)
Source: RNAcentral
GACAGACAAAUGCUCAGUUAAGGGUUGGAGCCCUAAUGCUGUCGGAAUGGAAAUAGUUCAGUUCAGGGUUGGAACCCUAAUGCUGACUAGCUGGGGAGAAGUUCAGUUAAGAGUUGAAACCCUAAUGCUCACUAAAAGGGAAAUGUUCAGUUUAGGGUUUAAAACCCUAAUGUUGAUUAAAGGGGAAAAGUCCAGUUUAGGGUUUAAAACCCUAAUGCUGACUAAAGGAAAGAGUUCAGUUUAGGGUUUAAAACCCUAAUGCUGACUAAAGGAAAAGAGUUCAGUUUAGGGUUUAAAACCCUAAUGCUGACUGAAGGAAAAGAGUUCAGUUUAGGGUUUAAAACCCUAAUGCUGACUAAAGGAAAAGAGUUCAAUUUAGGGUUUAAAACCCUAAUGCUGACUAAAGGAAAAGAGUUCAGUUUAGGGUUUAAAACCCUAACACUGACUGAAGGAAAGAGUUCAAUUUAGGGUUUAAAACCUUAAUGCUGACUAAAGGGAAAGAGUUCAGUUUAGGGUUUAAAACCCUAAUGCUGACUAAAGGGAAAGAGUUCAGUUUAGGGUUUAAAACCCUAAUGCUGACUGAAGGAAAAGAGUUCAGUUUAGGGUUUAAAACCCUAAUGAUGACC